UGAGCUGUAGCAGGAGGGCAAGGAGCUCUUGUCUGUCUGCGAGACAAAUCAGCUGCAUGCUAUAAUCUUGGGAGCAUCAACAGAAAGAAAUUUGUGAACAGUGCAAAGAAAACAGGGACUAUCUGGGACAAAUUGUCCUGAGCUGAGCCACUUCUAAAUUCUCUGUUCUCGUGAGGACAACCAGAAGGGAGCUACAGGUGUUCCAGUGCUUUUCCCUGGACUAAGAUUAUCCAAGGACCAGAAUGUGCUGGCAUGGCUGCCUUUUACCUCCAGUGCUUCUGGAGCUGGAGGUCCCUUCUCCAGGCUGACACUGAGCAACUUCCUUCCCCUCAGCUUUCAUGAGAGGCAACCAAGCGUGAGCAGUGCCAUUCCCAGCUGCAGUGUGGAGGGUAAUGGGAGAGUGAUGCAUGCAUUGUGGGGUCUCAUGCCAGACACCACCAUCGAGGCUGAGUUAAAACUUUAAUUUAUUUUAAUGCAGUUGUUGGGGCAUUUUAAUUCCAUCAAAGGAAAUGACACAAGACAAUCUACAAACAUUCAUUUGAUGCUUUUAAAUGAAUUGGAUUCAGCUGUGCUGGGUUUCUCCUUCUGGGGUUCUACUUUGAGAUUUACUUCUUGCUCAGAGGCGUAAGCAGUUAAGGACUGUGAACCUUAAAAAUUGCAAUCUAUAUUCAGUGUUUCAUACAUGAAUAUUUAAGCAGAGUGAUAUUCUCUAUUCUUUCUGUAAGGCCCCAUUUUUAAUCAUUAAUGUCUGUUCUUUUGAGCAAAUAAGCUCCGUGUAUACAUGACUUGUAUGCAUUUUAAAAAAUGAUAGUUCUCUGGGACAAGUUCCAGUGUCACAAUAUGCUGUAUAUGAAUAUUUAUGGAUCCAUCAACAUCGGUGAAUAUUGAAUUUGCUGAUAAACAUUGUGGAGGACUUUUUUUUUUUUUUUUUUUUAAAGAGGCAGAAAAAUAAUUUCCAAAUUGGGUCUAAUUCAGCACAUAUUUUUGGCCAAAAAUAAUCUGUUGUUUUUAAGAAAAAAACAAGCUUUUUCACUGAACGCAACUUUUGCAUGCAUAAUUUAUUUCAAUUACAGAAAAAAGCAACUUUUUCAUUGAUACUAAAUAACACAAAGCACAAAAAUUAUGUCAUAUGUGGCAAAGAUUUAAAGUGAACAAAAAUGAAAUUUGAGAGUUUGGGAAUAUAAGACUUACAUUACCCAUUACUUGCAUGUUAGUUGUAGUAUACUGAUCAAUGUGCUUGCAUCAGCAUUUUCAGGCUGCAAUAAAAGCUUUUCAUCCAGAUACAUUGGUGUUUUGUUAGAAUUGUGCAGAAAACCUAUCAAUCUGUUGUGAGAAUGUACAUACAUCUUGCAUCGUGUAUAAGUUGCACUGAAUAUUGUUGCCUCUUGCACUCAGAUCACAAAUGUAGCACUAUUGCUUCUUUUUAUUCUAUUUUUAUUAUUUUUUUCUUAAUAUAUUUUUACAUACCUCUUAGUACCUUCAAUGAAACAUCCUUGUAUUAAUAUGGGCAAAAUGAGUGUGAACAGAGCAUGACCAUAAAUAACCACAGAGGAAGGUCCUGUUGCAACCCGUAUGACGUCUCUAAAUCAACUGUGUCAGAAAGAUACUUGCUAGCUUGGUGUGUAUUGGUGUUUGACUUAGGAAUGAGAACAACAUAUCAGUACUUCCCAUAGGAUGGCAACACCAUUUUUCAGUCAUCUCUAGCUGUGUAUGGGAGAUUAAAGCGAUGCAGAUGGUGGUAUGAAGGAGAGAACAGUGAAAAGACCGGGAAGAGCUUGAGGAAAUGCAGAGUGCUGAAUCCUUUUGCUGAAGAUGACUCAGACACGGGCAGUUCAGGCUGCAGUCCUUUUCUUGAUGAUCCACCUGUUUGGAGGGUCAGCUUAUAGAAGGGUGGUCAUGAGGCUGUGUUGAAUUGCUCAUCAAUCUCCAAGCUGUCUUUGCUAAUGGUGACAUGGAAGAUGAAAUCCAGCACUUCCUGCUUUUUGGCUUACAGAAGGGAUCUCAAUGAGUCAAGAAUGCUAAACUGCAGUGAGAGGGUGAUGUGGAAAUACUCACCUGACCAUGACCUAGCUCUUCGUAUUUACCCUGUGGACUUGAAUGACGAGGGAAAUUACACCUGUGAAAUUGUCAGCA
Phasianus colchicus (ring-necked pheasant) is the source of this 2133-nucleotide non-coding RNA. The record is from RefSeq and is a predicted model, not a curated record. NCBI's taxonomy places the organism in Eukaryota, Metazoa, Chordata, Aves, Galliformes, Phasianidae.